RNAcentral lists this ribosomal RNA (404 nucleotides) under uncultured bacterium. RNAcentral's name for it is "bacterial SSU rRNA". It matches the Rfam family "Bacterial small subunit ribosomal RNA", at positions 356 to 772 of the family's 1533-position model. The record is from RNAcentral.
GGGGAAUAUUGCACAAUGGGCGAAAGCCUGAUGCAGCGACGCCGCGUGAGGGAUGACGGCCUUCGGGUUGUAAACCUCUUUCAGCAGGGAAGAAGCGAAAGUGACGAUACCCCCAGAAGAAGGACCGGCCAACUACGUGCCAGCAGCCGCAGUAAUACGUAGGGUCCAAGCGUUGUCCGGAAUUAUUGGGCGUAAAGAGCUCGUAGGCGGUCCGUUAAGUCGGAAGUGAAAUCUCAAGGCUCAACCUUGAAAUCGCUUUCGAUACUGGCGGACUUGAGGCAGGUAGGGGAAGGUGGAAUUCCUGGUGUAGCGGUGAAAUGCGCAGAUAUCAGGAGGAACACCGGUGGCGAAGGCGGCCUUCUGGGCCUGUUCUGACGCUGAGGAGCGAAAGCGUGGGGAGCAAA